Molecule: ribosomal RNA, 743 nt
Filed under: uncultured bacterium
Lineage: Bacteria
Description: bacterial SSU rRNA
Rfam family: Bacterial small subunit ribosomal RNA
Source: RNAcentral
AGCGGCGGAUGGGUGAGUAACACGUGGGGAACCUGCCCCUAAGUCUGGGAUACCAUUUGGAAACAGGUGCUAAUGCCGGAUAAUAAAGCAGAUCGCAUGAUCAGCUUUUGAAAGGCGGCGUAAGCUGUCGCUAAGGGAUGGCCCCGCGGUGCAUUAGCUAGUUGGUAAGGAAACGGCUUACCAAGGCGACGAUGCAUAGCCGAGUUGAGAGACUGAUCGGCCACAUUGGGACUGAGACACGGCCCAAACUCCUACGGGAGGCAGCAGUAGGGAAUCUUCCACAAUGGACGCAAGUCUGAUGGAGCAACGCCGCGUGAGUGAAGAAGGUUUUCGGAUCGUAAAGCUCUGUUGUUGGUGAAGAAGGAUAGAGGUAGUAACUGGCCUUUAUUUGACGGUAAUCAACCAGAAAGUCACGGCUAACUACGUGCCAGCAGCCGUGGUAAUACGUAGGUGGCAAGCGUUGUUCGGAUUUAUUGGGCGUAAAGCGAGCGCAGGCGGAAAAAUAAGUCUAAUGUGAAAGCCCUCGGCUUAACCGAGGAACUGCAUCGGAAACUGUUUUUCUUGAGUGCAGAGGAGGAGAGUGGAACUCCAUGUGUAGCGGUGGAAUGCGUAGAUAUAUGGAAGAACACCAGUGGCGAAAGCGGCUCUCUGGUCUGCAACUGACGCUGAGGCUCGAAAGCAUGGGUAGCGAACAGGAUUAGAUACCCUGGUAGUCCAUGCCGUAAACGAUGAGUGCUAAGUGU